CUCGGGUUGCUGCCAAAACUCUCUGAUCAUAUAUAAUAAGAAUAGAGUAAUGGUAGGACAUUGAGAUUUUUACUAAUGGAAUCAUUAAUAUCUAAAAAUAUUAAAUAAUUCAUGGUUUUAAGUAAUAAUUAUUAUUACAAUAUAUAAAUAUUGAAUUGAACAAAAAUAAACUAAAAAGCCUGUGAAUUAUAACCAUUAGCUAUUUUUUUUAAUUUGUUGUUCAAGUCACAGACAAUUCUUUCGUUUGGCAGCAUAUAGGUUUACUAUAAGGCUAUAUGAGCUAAGCCUUUUGCCUAUUGGCGAAUUUAAAAUCUAUGGCACUCAGCUUUGGGAUGUUAUCAAAUAAGUAAUUAAUUUUUUUGUAAAACAAUGCCAGGUUGAAAGAAAUGUUGAUACAUAAACUAAACAACGUGAAAAAAUAAGACAUCGUUUUUCAAGUACAUAUAGUUUUAACAUAAAGUUGGCCCACUUUUGGGCAUUGUCCUUUCUUAUUUUAUCAUGCUAACCCGCUUAAAACGUAAAAAAAAAAAAAUUAAAACAUAUUUCAUAGGAUCUCAAGAAAGUCGAUACCCCAAAACUAUUAUCUAUAUACCUAUAUCUUCCUUAACCUUAACCUCCUUAACCUUAACUUCAUUAUGGAGCAGAUGACGUCACAGUGGCACGAUUUUUUUAUUGACGUUUAAUUUCCAUAGGUUUCAUACUUCAGUGGGUAAGAUCAACUUCCAUUAUACAACAUAAAAAACGCGUUGAUAUAUUAAAAUGUACCAACCUAAAUCAGAUUUGGAGAACAUUAAAUAUGCUUAAGCAAAUAUAUUUAAUUUUACUGAGCUCUUAGAUACAUGUCGUUGAAAUCAUACGAAAUUUUAACUUUAAUGAUAUUAUGGAAAAUCUUAAAUCUACCACUCAACACAAAAUGGUCUACUUCGGAAAUAACGCGAUUUAAUUUGAUAGCGAGCAACAAGCUAUGUACCUGAAAUAAACUACUUAUAAUUACAACGUUAA
Long non-coding RNA from Bombyx mori (domestic silkworm), 1002 nucleotides. RefSeq lists it as uncharacterized. Lineage: Eukaryota; Metazoa; Arthropoda; Insecta; Lepidoptera; Bombycidae. The transcript has 2 exons. The record is from RefSeq and is a predicted model, not a curated record.